RNAcentral lists this ribosomal RNA (285 nucleotides) under Triticum aestivum (bread wheat). RNAcentral describes it as "partial small subunit ribosomal RNA". Lineage: Eukaryota; Viridiplantae; Streptophyta; Magnoliopsida; Poales; Poaceae. The record is from RNAcentral.
GCUAUUAUUCUUAACAGAACUUGCCUGCCACGUUCUUUCUCCUUUGUUAUUUGAUGUUGCAAAUCCUUAUCAAUAGUUUCCUGUUUUCUCAGUCUAACUCUCAAUUCAUUCCACUUGUUCAUGUUAUUAAUAUGCUCAAUGUUAUUUUCAUGUUCUUUGAGCUUCUCACUAAUAUGCCUCCAAUGUCCUAGUCCAUCAUGUGCUAAGGAACUCUGACUCCUGUUGGUGCUAUACUUGAAGAUCUUACAACAGAAGCAAAAAACUUUAUUGACAUUUUUUGAAUAA